This 460-nucleotide ribosomal RNA is filed under the name uncultured bacterium. Its description in RNAcentral is "partial 16S ribosomal RNA". It matches the Rfam family "Bacterial small subunit ribosomal RNA", at positions 338 to 795 of the family's 1533-position model. The record is from RNAcentral.
CCUACGGGACGCAGCAGUGAGGAAUAUUGGUCAAUGGGCGCGAGCCUGAACCAGCCAAGUAGCGUGAAGGAAGAAUGCCCUACGGGCUGAAACCUUCUUUUAUAAAGGAAUUAAGUGAGGCACGUGUGCCAUAUUGUAUGUACUAUAUGAAUAAGGAUCGGCCAACUCCGCGCCAGCAGCCGCGGUCAUCCGGAGGUACCGAGCGUUAUGCGGAUUUAUAGGGUGUAAAGGGACCGGAGAUGGGUUGUUAAGCCGGUUGUGAAAGUUUGCGGCUCAACCGUAAAAUUGCACUUGAUACGGACAGCCUUGAGUACAGUUGAGGUAGGCGGAAUUCGUGGUGUAGCGGUGAAAUGCGUAGAUAUCACGAAGAACUCCGGUUGCGAAGGCAGCCUACUAAACUGCGACUGACGUUGAUGCUCGAAAGUGUGGGUAUCAAACAGGAUUAGAUACCCGUGUAGUC